RNAcentral lists this ribosomal RNA (1144 nucleotides) under uncultured Helotiales. Its description in RNAcentral is "eukaryotic LSU rRNA". The stretch from base 511 to 1144 matches the Rfam family "Eukaryotic large subunit ribosomal RNA", at positions 1 to 649 of the family's 3401-position model. The record is from RNAcentral. Lineage: Eukaryota; Fungi; Ascomycota; Leotiomycetes; Helotiales.
AAGUCGUAACAAGGUUUCCGUAGGUGAACCUGCGGAAGGAUCAUUACAGAGUUCAUGCCCCUACGGGUAGAUCUCCCACCCUUGAAUAUUAUACCUUUGUUGCUUUGGCGGGCCGCUUCGGCUACCGGCUACGGCUGGUGAGUGCCCGCCAAAGGACCCCCAAACUCUGAAUUAUAGUGUCGUCUGAGUACUAUAUAAUAGUUAAAACUUUCAACAACGGAUCUCUUGGUUCUGGCAUCGAUGAAGAACGCAGCGAAAUGCGAUAAGUAAUGUGAAUUGCAGAAUUCAGUGAAUCAUCGAAUCUUUGAACGCACAUUGCGCCCCUUGGUAUUCCGAGGGGCAUGCCUGUUCGAGCGUCAUUAUAACCCCUCAAGCUCAGCUUGGUAUUGGGGCCUGCCAUCCUGGCAGCCCUUAAAAUCAGUGGCGGUGCCAUCCGGCUCUAAGCGUAGUAACUCUUCUCGCUAUGGAGUCCUGGUGGAUGCUUGCCAUUAAUCUUUUAACUUCUAUGGUUGACCUCGGAUCAGGUAGGGAUACCCGCUGAACUUAAGCAUAUCAAUAAGCGGAGGAAAAGAAACCAACAGGGAUUGCCUCAGUAACGGCGAGUGAAGCGGCAACAGCUCAAAUUUGAAAUCUGGCUCUUUCAGGGUCCGAGUUGUAAUUUGUAGAAGAUGCUUCGGGUGUGGCCCCGGUCUAAGUUCCUUGGAACAGGACGUCAUAGAGGGUGAGAAUCCCGUAUGUGACUGGGUGCCUUCGCUCAUGUGAAGCUCUUUCGACGAGUCGAGUUGUUUGGGAAUGCAGCUCAAAAUGGGUGGUAAAUUUCAUCUAAAGCUAAAUAUUGGCCAGAGACCGAUAGCGCACAAGUAGAGUGAUCGAAAGAUGAAAAGCACUUUGGAAAGAGAGUUAAACAGUACGUGAAAUUGUUGAAAGGGAAGCGCUUGCAACCAGACUUGCAUGCGGUCGAUCAUCCGGUGUUCUCACCGGUGCACUCGGCCGCGUUCAGGCCAGCAUCGGUUUCGGUGGUUGGAUAAAGGCCUUGGGAAUGUAGCUUCUUUAGGGGAGUGUUAUAGCCCUCGGUGCAAUGCAGCCUACUGGGACCGAGGACCGCGCUUCGGCUAGGAUGCUGGCGUAAUGGUUGUAAGCGACC